AGAGUUUGAUCAUGGCUCAGAUUGAAUGCUGGCGGCAGGCCUAACACAUGCAAGUCGAACGGUAACAGGAAGAAGCUUGCUUCUUUGCUGACGAGUGGCGGACGGGUGAGUAAUGUCUGGGAAACUGCCUGAUGGAGGGGGAUAACUACUGGAAACGGUAGCUAAUACCGCAUAACGUCGCAAGACCAAAGAGGGGGACCUUCGGGCCUCUUGCCAUCGGAUGUGCCCAGAUGGGAUUAGCUAGUAGGUGGGGUAACGGCUCACCUAGGCGACGAUCCCUAGCUGGUCUGAGAGGAUGACCAGCCACACUGGAACUGAGACACGGUCCAGACUCCUACGGGAGGCAGCAGUGGGGAAUAUUGCACAAUGGGCGCAAGCCUGAUGCAGCCAUGCCGCGUGUAUGAAGAAGGCCUUCGGGUUGUAAAGUACUUUCAGCGGGGAGGAAGGGAGUAAAGUUAAUACCUUUGCUCAUUGACGUUACCCGCAGAAGAAGCACCGGCUAACUCCGUGCCAGCAGCCGCGGUAAUACGGAAGGUGCAAGCGUUAAUCGGAAUUACUGGGCGUAAAGCGCACGCAGGCGGUUUGUUAAGUCAGAUGUGAAAUCCCCGGGCUCAACCUGGGAACUGCAUCUGAUACUGGCAAGCUUGAGUCUCGUAGAGGGGGGUAGAAUUCCAGGUGUAGCGGUGAAAUGCGUAGAGAUCUGGAGGAAUACCGGUGGCGAAGCGGCCCCUGGACGAAGACUGACGCUCAGUGCGAAGCGUGGGGAGCAAACAGGAUAGAUACCCUGGUAGUCCACGCCGUAAACGAUGUCGACUUGGAAGUUGUGCCCUUGAGGCNNGGCUUNNNGCUACGCGUUAGUCGACC
This 864-nucleotide ribosomal RNA is filed under the name uncultured bacterium. RNAcentral describes it as "bacterial SSU rRNA". It matches the Rfam family "Bacterial small subunit ribosomal RNA", at positions 8 to 870 of the family's 1533-position model. The record is from RNAcentral.